GUGGCGGGGCGGGCGGGCGCUGGGGCCCCGGGCUGCCGCCGCGCUCAGGCGAAAGGGUGGCUUGGUCGUCCGCAAAGCCCGGCCUGCGGGGCCGCGACUCCUCGGGCUGGGUGGGGCUGUGCGCCCGCCGAGCCGUCGUGCACUCCGGCCUCCUGCCCCCUGAAGCCUCCGCGUUUGUUGAUUGAAGAGCGGUCCCGCGGCAGAGCGCCCGUAGGUCGGUGGUUUAUUGGGUGGGUGUCCGACUGUUUGCGGCCUCCUCGGUACCGCGGGUUUGCUUUUUGGGUUUUUCGGGUCCGAGGAUGCGCCAGCUUCUGGCGGUGUCGCGUGAAGUGUUGAAACCUUCCGAAAGCUGUGUCUGUGGUCUCUUAGUGAACGUAGGGUCCAAAUCCUGCGGAGUCCACGCGUCUCGCCCUGCGAACUCGUCAACAGCGGUACCGAAGUGUGUCUAGUAAAGCAGCUCUUUGCAAAAUUGCUUAAAUGGAGGAAGAAAAUCGCUUCUCUCGAUCUUACGCAUCUGGGGUUGUAGGUUGUCCUUAGAUAUUUCUCUCUUUUAAUUACGGUGUUGACUUGCUUUGGAAGGUGCGGAUGCCGUGAGGAGUUCAGGCCGGGCUCUCCUGGAUCGCCAUGCUUUGUAGGCCCACGAUCCUCUGCUGAUUGUUUUCCGCACUUUUGUUAUUCAUUGCAAAUAAAUACUCCCAGUUGGAUAGGUUAAUCUUUUUUCUUAGAUAGUAGCCAUUGGGGCUUUUAUCAGGGUGACCCCAACUGGGAGUAUGUUGUCCAUUAUCUGGUGAUAUUUGUAUUUGAUAGGAAAUGCUUUAAAUACACUCAUUUUCCUUCCUUCCUUGUUCUCUCCUUGCAAGGAAGUAAGUGGAGAAGAGGUAAAUUUGUAAUGUCAUGGUGAGCCACAGACCCUGAAGUUGGAAGUUGGAAGGCCUCAGCACAUGCAUAUCCUCUUCUGGCAGGAAGGUUUUACAGGAGAGCCUUGGUAACUAAAGGAUUCUUGACUGGGGGGUGCACUGCAGAACUGCCAGGCCCCUGAUGGUCUAGAAGCAGUAAGCUUUGAUAUCAGUACUUCUGUUGAGCAUCACAGAUACUUCUGAUGCACACUACAGGCCUGGACCUGCAUGGUGAAAAAUGCCAAACGUGUGGCAAAACCAAGGUAAAACUUUCUGUUUCACCUUUGAAAUGCAGUUUAGAAGGUUUUCUUUUUUUUUUUUUUACUCUGUGCCUGAAUAUUAUUCACUCACAGGGAACCAGGGCUCGACCGGAGUGAUGAUGUAUGUGGCAGCACGCAGUCCUUGUGUGUGCAUUAUCUCGGCACCUACCCUGACUGUGAGCCCUGUAUCGAGAUGUGCCUUGUCUCUCUCGAUCUCAGUCCUUACCACAGUACCUAGUUAAGAGUGGGUAUGGAGUGGGCAUUUAUUGAAUGAAUGCUUUCCCAGCAACAGUGUAUUGCAAACGAUAUUCAUAAUCAUCGUCCUGUUUUUACAGAUGAACCCAGUGAAAACAAGGUUUGGUGACUUCUAUGAGCUGGGAUGUGAGCCUGGGGCUUCUGGCUCCUUGUUCAGUGCUCUGUGGAUGAGACCCAGGUGUGCUCUCCGUGGUCCUCCGGGCAGGUCUUUUUUUCCCAUAACACUUAACCAGUCUGUUCUGCAGUCAAUCAUUAAUUGACUCCUUGAGCUGUGAGCUCCUUGAGAGCAGGAACUAUAUCAUGCAAUUCCUUUUGUACCUAGCACAGAGUAAACAUGUUUUUUGCCCUCCAAGUUUAUUUUAAAUUUGCGUUAAAAUGAUAAAUGUUGAUUCACUGAAAACCAAAUUUUGACUAAACAAUAGCAGUAGAUGUGCUAAAUUUGUCAGACUACUAUUACCAGAGAUUUUUUGCUUGUAAGGGUACUGCUUAUAUGAUAGAAUAAAUAAUGGUUUUCCUUUUUAUUUUCAUAGACCCGAAAAGCUUAAUAAUUACCUUCUUAAGUACUUAUGUACAUGUUUGUAUCAAUUGUUCUAUAAUAGCUUAGGCUUUAUUAGUAUAGUAGUAAUCAUUUUAUGAAACUUCUGUUUAUAUCAUCUAUAUAAAUAUGACUUGUUUAUAAAAUAAACUUUUAAACCUCAUAUAAUUGUUAUUAGCCUUAUUUUUUAAGAAUGUGGAAUCUGAACAGAUGGAAUUGCUGAAUACCAGAUUGCACAUUCCUUACACUUACACAUUAUCCUGUUUAAUCUUCCCAAUAACCUUGUGAAGGAGAUGGUAUUAUCUUGUUCUUACAGCUGAAGAGGCUGAGGACUUAAACAGAGGGAGGAUGACUUCUCCAAACGUGGCCAGCAAGUGGUGGAACAUUUAUUAAUAGUUAUUUCUGCUUAUUUCUCUCUUCUGUCCUUGAGAACUUCGAGAGGAAGACAGCUCUCUUCUUCUCACCUCAAUUCCGUCAAAGUCAAGCUCUGACACAGUAGAAGAGUACUUAGAGAGGUCUCAACUUCUCUAAAAAUGUCCCUUGUUCUUCCCAGGAAGAGAAAAGAGAAAGAGCACCCUGAGGACUUCUAAGGAACAUAGGACCUGCUGCCUACACUUUGCCACAAGACAGAUGUUGGGAAACAGUUGCUGGUGAACGUUUUAGAUGCACUUUCCCUCUGUGUCCACCUCUGGAGAGAACGUGAUGCACUUUUGAAGACACGCUGCUCUGGCUUCACAUGACUGACAGGCUCUGGGCUGUGCACUGCUUGCAUUGGCUUGAUUUCAUUUCUGAAGUAGUCCUCCUCCCUUGGGAUGUGAUCCCCCAGGACACAGAAGGAUUCUGUGAACACGUGCUCUCUUCCUCUUGGAACUAGUCUGGCAAAGAGUAUCAGAAAUAGGAUGUCAUACCAUAAGAGGCCUUCGAAUGACUUCCAAACACGUGAUUCUACCCAGAGCUCAGAAACCGGCCAUGGCUGUGCCCCGCGGCAAGGUGACCUUACCUGGCGCUGAGUCGUGCCUGCUUCCUAAAGGCUUUAGAGGGCCUAGGGGCCCACUUACAUAUGUCUGAUAAUGAAAAUGAGUCCAAUGGAAUUAAGC
This is a long non-coding RNA of Equus quagga, 3043 nucleotides long. RefSeq lists it as uncharacterized. Lineage: Eukaryota; Metazoa; Chordata; Mammalia; Perissodactyla; Equidae. The record is from RefSeq and is a predicted model, not a curated record. The transcript has 5 exons.